Picea glauca (white spruce) is the source of this 121-nucleotide non-coding RNA. Lineage: Eukaryota; Viridiplantae; Streptophyta; Pinopsida; Pinales; Pinaceae. The record is from Rfam.
ACAUGCGUACAACAUAACAUUAAUGCAACAGAUCCCAUUAGAACUCUGUAGUUAAGCACGCUCAGGCUAGAGUAGUAAUGGGAUGGUUGAUCGCCCUGGAAGUCCUAGUGUUUUACAUGCC